Long non-coding RNA from Homo sapiens (human), 1829 nucleotides. Ensembl annotates it as long intergenic non-protein coding RNA 1151. The record is from Ensembl. Lineage: Eukaryota; Metazoa; Chordata; Mammalia; Primates; Hominidae.
GGUGAAACAGCCUCUGUCUCAGGUUGGGAGUUGCUGCCAUGGAGACCACAAGAGUGGAGAUUUUCUGACACACAGAAAGGAAUGGAUUACAGCUCCUUCUUAUGUAAAUUUCCAUGGAGGGGAAAAAAGAUUAAAAGGAAAAUAAUUCUGCUUUAGUCGUUUUCCUUUAAGGUGAUAAGAUCCUUUGAUUCCAUCGUGGAGAAGAAGGCAACAGCUGUUUGUCACAAAUGAUGGGAAAUGUGCCAACGUCACAACAAGGUUUGAGGGAGGCACAUCUCAUGCUCGGACAUGAACACCCGAUCAUCAUGCUUAUGAACUACAAAAGGAUCUCCAGUAUGGGCUCACGGCAGUUGGCCCUUGAAUAACAUGAAUUUGAACUGCCUGAGUCUGCUAAUAUGUGGAUUAUCUUCUGCUUCUGCACCCUGAGACAGCAAGACCAACCCUUCCUCUUGCUUCUUUUCCUUAGCCUAUUCAACGUGAAGAUGACUAAGAGAAGCCCAGGUUAUUUGCACCCAGUGAUGCUAAUUCAGCUUGGCUGCCUCAGCAGGAUAAAAUAAAUCGACCAAUCUACUUUUUGGAAGCAGAAGGUGGGAAAGUGGCUACUCCCUGAGCUGACUGUGCACCAAGGGACAGAUCCUUGUUUUAUAUAAAUUGACUAUGAAAAUUCCCCUAGACGAACACAGGAGGGAAAUCUGGCACAAGCCCCAGAGCAGGAUAAAGACGUUUGAAAAUCCUUUCAGAAAUCAUAACUUAGAUGCCUCUUCCAUCUGCACCAUUUCUGCCUGUUGUCUGCAAGAAAUAUGAUCCUCUGUCUCACAGGUUCUCAAUGUACAGGACAAACUCUGGAAUGAUAUGCAGAGUAGAAGGUGCUGCUGCUUUUCACAGUGGACAAUUCAAAACCUCAUGGGCCCCUCUCUGAUUAGACUCUCAGAGGCUGAGAGCCCUGUGGUAAGAAGCCUAGUGAGAGAUGUUUCUAUCAAUGGCUCUCCCUUGUCCCAUCUUCCUUCAGGGGAAUCUCUGUGUACUAUGAACACAGAAAGCUUCGGCCAACACAGUAAAAAAGGGAGGGACUAAGGGAGAUGGCAUGAUUUUUAAAAAUUAAAAUGAGAUUAUGACACUGUGGUAUUCAUUAAGGCCAUUCAUAUUUUGGCUCUAUUCUGGGCCCAUGCUAAGACUGUACUUUUUGACCUCAUUAAUAUUAGGCUGUAUGACUUGCUGUGGUCAAUGAACUGUGAGUGAAAGUGAAAUGUAUCAGUUCUGGGAGGAAAUGUUAACAGCCAGUGUGAUUUGCCAUGUUCUUUUCCCCUUUGUCACAAUGAUAGGCAACAUUUGAGAUGGUAGUUGAUUCUUUAGCUGGGGUGUGACGGUUAAUUUUAUGUCAACUUGGCUAGGCUAUUGGGUCCAGUUGUUUGGUCAAGAACCAGUCCAGAUGUUGCUGUGAAGGUACUUUUAGAUAAGAUUAACAUUUAAAUCAGUAAAAUUUGAGCAGGCGAUACUCCAUAACGUGGAUAGGCCUCAUCUAAUCAGUUGAAGGCUUUAAGAACAAAGACCAAAGUUUCCCAAAGAGAAAAAAAUUCUUAUCAAGACUGCAAGAUAGAAUCCCUGCAUGAAUUUCCAGCCUGCUGGUGUGUCCUACAGAUUUGAGACUUCUCAGCUUCACAACCAUGUGAACCAAUUCCUUAAAAUAAAUCUCUUUCCAUGUAUAUACCCCAUGAGUUCUGUUUCCCUGGCUGACACACUAGGUGAGGAUGCACAGGAGCCAAGCACCCUCCCAACUCAGAAUGAAAAUGUAGUGUGAGCAAGAAAUAAACAUUUGUUGUUAAAAGCCA